Molecule: ribosomal RNA, 439 nt
Filed under: uncultured bacterium
Lineage: Bacteria
Description: partial 16S ribosomal RNA
Rfam family: Bacterial small subunit ribosomal RNA
Source: RNAcentral
CCUACGGGUGGCAGCAGUGGGGAAUAUUGCACAAUGGGGGAAACCCUGAUGCAGCGACGCCGCGUGAGUGAAGAAGUAGUUCGGUAUGUAAAGCUCUAUCAGCAGGGAAGAAAAUGACGGUACCUGAGUAAGAAGCCCCGGCUAACUACGUGCCAGCAGCCGCGGUAAGACGGAGGAGGCGAGCGUUAUCCGGAUUUAUUGGGUUUAAAGGGUGCGCAGGCGGGCUGUUAAGCCGGCGGUAAAAAUUCAGGGCUCAACCCUGUCGAGCCGUCGGAACUGGCAGUCUUGAGUGGGCGAGAAGUAUGCGGACUGCGUGGUGUAGCGGUGACAUGCAUCGCUAUCACGCAGAACGCCGAUUGCGCAGGCAGCAUACCGGCGCCCAACUGACGCUGAGGCACGACAGCGUGGGGAUCGAACAGGAUUAGAUACCCGAGUAGUC